RNAcentral lists this ribosomal RNA (245 nucleotides) under uncultured bacterium. RNAcentral describes it as "partial small subunit ribosomal RNA". It matches the Rfam family "Bacterial small subunit ribosomal RNA", at positions 26 to 285 of the family's 1533-position model. The record is from RNAcentral.
AGAAUCAACGCUGGCGGCGUGCCUAACACAUGCAAGUCGCACGAGAAAGGGACUUCGGUCCUGAGUACAGUGGCGCACGAGUGAGUAACACGUGAAUCAUCUACCUCCGAGUGGGGAAUAACUGAGAGAAAUCUUAGCUAAUACCGCAUAACACUUACGAGUCAAAGCAGCAAUGCGCUUGGAGAGGAGUUCGCGGCAGAUUAGUUAGUUGGCGGGGUAACGGCCCACCAAGACGAUGAUCUGUA